CACUCGAAAUGUUCUGUUCCGCCGCCGUCCCCAUCUUUAGCCACCGGUCCUCCGACGAUGUGAUCCAGCGACGCCUUCGCUCAUUUGGAAUCCUUUCCUCCGAUCCAAAACGUAGGCCGUGGCAUAGCAAUUUAGAGAUUUCUCGCAAGGCUGCUUCCUCUACACGAUUCCUGCCGCACUAGCGCAACAAGCCACCGUGAGAUCGGAACUUGUCGCUUGAAAAUUUUGAGGUCGCCGAUCUUUGGUAAUUUGUUGUUUGUGGAUCUUAAUUUUAUUUUGAUAAAUAAUUAGUAUUCAAUUUCUCACUCACAUUCUUUAUGGAUAGUGUAGAAUAAAAAUAAUUAUAAAUGUUUCAUGAACUAAGUCUUACUUUUGGAUAAUGCUAAACAUUCUUUACAAACUACGCCCAUAGUUGUCAGUACAUACCGGACAACAAGUUCUGUAUCAAUAGAAGAGAGUGUUUUGUGUAUGUGAUUUUAAUUUUAUUAAUAAUAUUAGUUGUAUUUUGGUUGAUGUUUUGUCUAAUUGUUUUGAUUUUUUUUGCCCUUUAAUUAUUUUUUGGUGAAUUUGUUUGGAUAAUGGAGUUAUUGAGUUUUUUUUUUUUUUAAAUCGGUCGACGUUGUUGCUUUGAUUUGACUAUGAUUGGCCAUAUCUGAGAAAAAAGAAAAAAUAUAGCUUUUCGUAUAAGGUUCGAUAUAAUUGGCAUUUUCCAUUUUUCUUUUCGUUUUCUCUAACUGGUAUUUUCAUUGCCACAGGGAUUGUUGUUUUUG
RNAcentral lists this long non-coding RNA (770 nucleotides) under Erythranthe guttata (spotted monkey flower). Its description in RNAcentral is "long non-coding RNA (EGUT_LNC002240)". Lineage: Eukaryota; Viridiplantae; Streptophyta; Magnoliopsida; Lamiales; Phrymaceae. The record is from RNAcentral.